RNAcentral lists this ribosomal RNA (497 nucleotides) under uncultured bacterium. RNAcentral describes it as "partial 16S ribosomal RNA". It matches the Rfam family "Bacterial small subunit ribosomal RNA", at positions 28 to 507 of the family's 1533-position model. The record is from RNAcentral.
GAUGAACGCUGGCGGCGUGCCUAAUACAUGCAAGUCGAGCGAACGGACGAUAAGCUUUCUUCUCUGAUGUUAGCGGCGGACGGGUGAGUAACACGUGGAUAACCUACCUCUAAGUCUGGGAUAACUUCGGGAAACCGGAGCUACUACCGCAUCAUAUUUUCAACCGCUUGGUUCAAAAGUGAUACACGGUUUUCCCGUUACUUUUAGCUGGAUCCGCGUUGCAUUAGCUAGUUGGUAAGGUAACGGCUUACCAAGGCAACGAUGCGUAGCUGACCUGAGAGGGUGAUCAGCCACACUGGAACUGAGACACGGUCCAGACUCCUACGGGAGGCAGCAGUAGGGAAUCUUCCGCAAUGGGCGAAAGCCUGACGCAGCAACGCCGCGUGAGUGAUGAAGGUCUUCGGAUCGUAAAACUCUGUUAUUAGGGAAGAACAUAUGUGUAAGUAACUGUGCACAUCUUGACGGUACCUAAUCAGAAAGCAACGGCUAACUACGUG